AGAGUUUGAUCCUGGCUCAGAUUGAACGCUGGCGGCAUGCCUUACACAUGCAAGUCGAACGGCAGCACGGGUGCUUGCACCUGGUGGCGAGUGGCGAACGGGUGAGUAAUACAUCGGAACGUGUCCUGUAGUGGGGGAUAGCCCGGCGAAAGCCGGAUUAAUACCGCAUACGCUACGGGGAAGGACGGGGGAUCGAAAGA
RNAcentral lists this ribosomal RNA (200 nucleotides) under uncultured bacterium. RNAcentral describes it as "partial 16S ribosomal RNA". It matches the Rfam family "Bacterial small subunit ribosomal RNA", at positions 8 to 207 of the family's 1533-position model. The record is from RNAcentral.